CAAGACAAAGCCCAAACACACACAUGCUCAUCUUCUCAGGGAAGCAUUCGCAAGCAGCAGAUUCAAGAUUCAAGAACCACCCUCCGCAAAUAUACAGCGACUAUUGAGGGCAGUCUAUUCAUCUUCUUUCUUGAAAUAAGAUUACAUAAACAACACAGAUAGCAAGAAGAGACAGAGACGGAGAUCCUCUCAUGGUUUAGAAGAGAUGGUGGUGCUUCUUGCCAUGAGCCUCUUCAUCUUCUUUCUUGGCGUCCUUCUUCUCGUGGUGCUCAUGGAAGGCGAACCCGCCGGCCCCAACGGCGGCAGCGGCGGCUAUUUCCUCCUCUAUCUUGUGCUUAUGGGCGUGCUCUGGGUCCUUCUUGGCCUUAUGCUUCUCAUGCUGCAAUUUGCACAUCAUUAAUUAGGAACUGAGUGGAUGAAACAAAAUGAGUAAAGGUAAAGAGGGGAAAAAAAGUUCUCUACUCUGUAUACCUCUUUUUAUAGAGGCUUUAAGCAUGGUAUAAGUUAAAAAAAAAUGAAUUUAUUCAAAAAAUGAAUUUAUUCACUUUGAACAGAAGUAUUUGAUUAUGUAAAUAAUGAUAUAGAUAACAGCUAUGUUUUUUUGUUUAAGCCAAUUGUGGGGAAAUAUCAUUCCUCUACUUGAUCGAUGAAGGAAACUGAUUGAAUUCAAACUAUUGUUCGUUUAUAAAGAUGAUCCAUUCUUGUAUGACAUGCCAUCAUCAUGGCUAGUUGAAAUAUGUAAGUUUAAUCGAGAUUCUUCGCAUCCAUAAUUUGUGAUCAACAAGAUGGUUCAGUAAAGAAGGUGAAGACGAGAAUUUUAUCUAAAUAUAAAAUGGGGAAAAAUUGCAAGAAUUGAGAAGAAGAUGAUAACAAUUACCAAGGCAUAAGCGCCGGCAGCAACAGUACCGAGCUCACCGAGCUGCUCGAGAUGCUUGUGGUGCUUCUCCUCUUUCUCGUAAUCGACGACCGCAGGCUCCUCGUUGGCGUCAUCCUUCUUGUGGUGGAAGAGGUGGUGGUGGUGUUCUUCGGCCAUGGUCGGUGGUUGUUUUUCUGGGAAAUGUGUUGUAUGGUAUGUGGUGUGAGAUUUUUUGAGAGGGAGGGGUGUACUAAUAGGGAGAGUUGGCACAUGGAAAGUCACAUCCAAUCGGGCCUACGUGGGAGGCCUUAAAUGCGUCGUGGGCGGUCAGGAUAGGUUGAUGCGGUUCCACUAAAUGCAGCUUUAUCUUCUUUCGAUAAAGCAGUUGUUUAUAUGUCAAGCCAAAGAAAAAAAGGGGGAUGACUUCGUUUUUUUCUUUUUUCUUGUUGAAGGACACUUUGUGGGGACAAAUUUAUUUGCCAGAUGAUUUUUAUGAGUUGCCACAGGAAAUAGUGAAAAACCUUGAGUACAUUCCAGGAGAAUUAUAAAAAAAAUUCUAAAUUUAUUGUAAAUGUUUUAAUUUUAAUCAUAAUUUUUUUAUCAAUUUAAUCUUAAACAUUUUGUGUUUAUACUAAUUCUGUUUAUUUAGCUAAAUUUGGCCGGUCGACGCUAAUAUAAAUAAUUUUUUAAUCAUAUUUUUUUUUGAAUUUUUCCUUUUUUUUUUAUCCUUCUUCUUUCCUCCUUUAGUUGAUCACCACUGGCCAAUGGCAAGGCUUGCCUUCGCUAGCCACUAGCAAUCUUGUAAAAAUUUAACGUAAUAUGUCGACGAUAUCUUUUUGAGUUUGAAUCUAUAAAGGACCCAAUCCAAAUAGCUUUUCUAAUUUGUGUGGUUUCUUUUCAAUUUUGAGUAGCUUCCUAAUUUAAGUAACUUCUCUAAAAGAGACCAACGCUCUAAUGGAACCACAUAUAUCUAUGAUGUUCUCAUCGUUUCCCUGCUGAUUUCUCUGAUAAUAUUUUCAUCCUGUCCUUAGCUCGAACUGCAAGAUUUGUGUACUAAUGUAAUUGCAGGAGUCUAAAGUUUAAGAUGAGGCUUUCCGGUGUAGGCGGGUGGUUUUGACUUAUAAUCCCGUCGCACGAAUGUGGUCUACGUAUGCUUUUAAUUGAAGAUCUAUCGAUAGGGUUUUGAAUAAAGAGAAAAAAUUGAGCUUUCUCGGUUGUUUUCGUAAAAGUAAUUCUCUAUCUUCACAUGCUUUAAUAAUAAGAGAAUAUGUUAAAUUUUCAAUCAUGCACUUCCAAUUUUUUUUGUCUUUUUUGUAUUUUCUUUUCCUAUUAUACUCUUAAUUUUUCUAUAAGAUGCAUGGCUUUGUAUCCCUAAUAAUUUUCAAGGGACGGACCCCUAAUUUAAUUAGAUAGUAGAACUAGUUUGUAUAUGCUCCAUCAAUGCAUUUUGCUAACAUCUUGUCUACUUCUACUAACAUGUGGAAUAGUAGAAAAAUGUUCCUAGUCCACGUAAUGCAAUUCAUGAUUUUGAGGCAUGAUCGAUUGUCUUGUUCCCAUUUUACUUGACAGACAAAGCUAAAUCAGCUUGAAUAUCUAUCUGUGCCAUUUAACUCCUCUGGAUAGUAGCUUCCUCGCAUGUGAACAGUUUAUGCCCUUUCUUGUUGAGAUUACUAGAUGCCGAUACCAUUGAUUUAUUUAAUUAUUUAAUAUAGUUGAACCCCUUCAUUUUAGAUCUGACAACAUCUAUAUACAUAUAAAAUCAAUGGGGUUGAAAUUAUUUGGUGGUGCUCAGAAGGUGAACAUCAAUAAAACAUAAAUAAAUGAGUAAAUAAGCAACUUAAAAGUUCGGAAACCACAUUUUACAUUGAGCCAAAGUUUAGAGAAUUAUUGAAGGCAUCUAAGUACUAAUGUUAUUAGACUAUGGCUUGAAAACAUCCUGUACAUUUUUAUUUCCCGUGGUAAAUAUCAUAGCUCGUUUGAGAUGUUGGCUUUCAUGUUUCGUUCUCUUGUACUUUGAACGUAUGUCUUACACCAUAUGUACCUUGAAAAACAACUUUAUCAAAUUGCAAUUUAGAGCAUGAAUGAUAACUAUUUUGACCAGAAGUUGAUUUUUGAAAUAGAAAUAGAAAAUCAAUUUCUAUUCCUAGAUGAGUUUAUGAAUAAAAAUAUGUGUUUGAUAAUGACAUAAAGUUUCUAUUUCUAGAAAUAAAAAUUCAUUAAAUAACGACACAAAAUUUCUCCCUCUUGAAUGGCAGUGGACAGCAGGGGGCGGGUGGCGACCAACGACAACCAGCAAGGGGCUACUAGUGACCAAUGGUGGAUGGCGGGCUGUGGCAAGUAGGCAAUUGAUUAGUUGAAGACGAGCAAUAAGAAGAGUUUUAUUUCUCAUUUUUUAUUCUAGAAAUAAAGAAAUAUAAAUUUUUUACAUCUUAUUUCUGUUCAAAAUCUAUUUUUAGACUAAAAAUUUGUUUUGAAAAUAGAAAAAUGAAAUUACGUUAACAAACGAAUUUCUGUUCUAAACUUGUUUCUAUAAUAAAAUAAAAAAAUAGUUUUUGAAUAGAAAUAGAAUGAUUAUUAUGCGUGUCCUUAAUUCUUGGAGACUGCAUCGUUAGUUGAUGGUAGAACACCAAUUUCACGCUACUUUGUUCAAGGCUUUCCCUAAAGAUCUGAAAUGUUUUGUCAAAGACUUUAAAACCAGUCUCAAGCAAUUGGUAGAUGAUUCUUUUCAAGAAAGUCGGUCGGAGAAAAUUUGUUCCUAAUUUUUUUAUCCCAAAUCUUGCUUUGCAUCCUAGAAUCUUAUAAAUUGUUUGGUUAUAUAUGUUAGAAGUGUAAAUGUUGCUUUGUUGUGAUCGCUUUCUGUUACUGUGGCUACAGCUGGAUGGAGAAAGGUUCAUAUUUCUGAGUCUUGGGUGCUGCUCUCGAUCUGUUCGAACUUGACGGACCCGAAUCCCAAUGAUUCUCUGGUACCAGAAAUGGCGUACGUGUGCAAGACCAACAGAACCAAGUACGCGGCCACUAGAAUAAGCUGGACGCAGAAGUAUACAAUGGCCUAGGAUGCGAUGUGCGAUUCGAGGAGGGUUGGCAACUUGGCAUCUCUGUGACUUUGGUCUUGCAGUUUAUAUGUGUUAGUGAAAGACCAUAACCCAUCUCGUCCUUAGAUCAGAACAAAAUAAGUCUGUAAGGUUAUCCUCCUCAAAACGCAUGCUUUGCCGCAUUUCAAUUGUUCGUGUGUUGAUAAGUAUUUCUAACUAUGGUUACUUGUUUCAAGUUGCACAUUACAUUAAGUUUUACUGUGAUUAACAUAUUCUUCAGCUUAACUACCACGCUCUACUUCAUACUUGGAUACUGCAAUCGGAGUUUGGUCAUGUAUUGCCUGGAUGUGAACUGAGCUGGCUUCCCCAUCACUGCUAAAUUUUAGCUCAGGCUUUAAAAGUUAUCAAGGAAAUUGACUUUUCAUUACCAUUAGCUAUAGUGCCUGGUGGUGACACUCAAAAUGGACCUUGUCGCCAUGUGCUGAUCACAAGAGCGGUGAGACGAUAAUGGGCCAAGCAAAAUUACAUGAAUAUAAUGAGAAAGAUGUUGAUACAUGACCGAUUAUCGAUAAGCGUAAGGACAAAAACUUGAUAAUCAAUAGCAAAGCAAGAAGCCGCCACAUGUUCAGUUAUUGGAAUGCAAUGACGGAUAUCUGGCGGUCGCUUGAGUAGCUUCGGCGGCAAACUUUUUGACAAAAAACUUUGAAAUAUUGACUAAGAAGAGCGCCAAAGGCGCAUGCGGUUAGAAAGCAGUUGUUAUAUGAACAUGUUAUUGAUAAAUAAGGGACUAUCAAAGCACGAUCAAGGCAGCAAAGGAAAUGGACAAUUGAUUUCUAGAGAAGACAGAACGUGCUGUGGUUACUAGAAGAUGAAUAACUAUUUAGUGGUUAAAAGGCACCUCUAUAAAUACCAUCGGUCAUCCAGCGAGAAACCUCGUGACAAAUCAAUCAAAAUGUUGUUCCUUUAUCUUUCCUAUAUUGUACUUCAAUUUCUAUAGUUGUAGUUCCUAGAUUCCCAUCAUUAAUUAGAUUCCGACGUAUAUCUAUAUCUCAAUGUCACGUCGUUGAUUAGAUUCCAACGUCGUGUCUUUUAUCUUGGUCCAAUGCUGUCGAUUAGUUUUAGUGUUGUGUCCUCUGUCUUAGUGCAUUGUCGUUGAUUAAAUUCCGAUAUUGUAUCCAAUUAUCCUCAAACCAUGUUGUUGAUUAAAUCCGGUAUAGUUUCAACUUAACCUCAGAGUCUAGCAUUGUAUAUCAUUGUCAAAAGUUGGAAAUUCAAUAUUCAUGUUGCAUUUGCUAUCCUCUGUCCUGAAAUAGCACAAAACCUUGUCCUUUCUAAAUAAAAAUCAAGGAACGACUCUCGAUAAAAGAUAUUUUAUUACGAGAACAAAACCUAUGAAACAUCGUUUUGGUAGACUCGAUGGGACUUCUUGUGCUAGUUUGAUAGGAUAAUACGCCCCUGACUAGAAGUCAAUCCAAUUUCGACAACAUUGCUGAUAAGCCAUUACCACUGAUGACUGAAGAUCUUGGAUGUGCUAUGUCAUCAUCAACACAACCUCUCCCGAGCCAUGCCCAAGAGGAGGACACUAGUGUUCCAAGGCAGUGCAUAGAGGAGCAAAGAAGGCAGAUGGAGCUCACCCCUAUAAUGUUUUCAUCUAAAAGGAGGACACUAGAGGAGAGCUAGAACAAGUCCUUGAUUAUGCCGUCAAGUGCAUGAUGGAUGUGGUCAAAUCAUUUAUCAUUUACACCUAUCAUGAGUGUACACAAGGGCAACAUAGAGUGCCGAAAGAUCAAUUCAACCCCAAAUUGAACCAGUUGCCACAUCCUCCAAGUAUGUUCAUUAAUUGGUACUUAGAUAACUUUUGGUAUUGUAGGACAAGGCACAUCAACCCCAGCGCCACUUAGGAUCUUGCAAAGAGGAGAGGCUAUUAUAGCGGUCCAAUCCUGUGGACCUGUUGGCAUCAAUGCCAAUAGCCCUUCAACAUCAUUGCAAAGAAAUGAUACCCUAGGGAUAACUUAGACCUGUGGAGCAGCAUUACCUAAUGGGAAUUAUAGGCUUGGCUUAGUUCAAACAAAAUUUCUUACUAAUAAUAGUGGGAUAAUUGGUCAAGGACCUUGCUAGAAUACAUUGUUUGUGGCUAAUGAGAGUGCGUAGGCUUGUGUUACCAUGUCUCAACCUAAUCUCAUCCUUGUGCCCAAUACUAAUGUCGAUAACCAGGGGACAUUGUUUUCUCCACCUAGGGGGUAGGAGUAACUUCCUUAACUGCAACAAUUACCCCCAAUAGGGAUUUCAACUAAUCCCUUUGACUAUCCCAUUGUAGCCUUCGCAACUAGCCCCUCAACCUUCUCCUUUACAUGUUCCUCAGCAACCGCCAAAACAACCGAACAUUCCACCAAUCCCAUAGAAUAACCCACAACCUUUGCAAUUCCAAAUUCAGCAACAACCUUAUAGUCCGUGGCAACAAUUACCCUAAUUCAUGCCCCAAUAUGCGAAUCAGAUGUAGCAAUCCAAUUUAAGCGCUCAACAUGCUACAGGGGUGCCCAUGGUUACACUUAGAACCAACUAGUAAUUGAUCCAUCAAUGAGGCAGUACGGUUAUGAUAUGGGAUGUGUGGGAAAUGUCUACAGGAAACCAUAUCCAAAUUGGAUGGAUGCAAUCACAUACCCACGAGGCUUUAAAAUGCCAAAAUUUAUGUUGUUUAUUGGUGAAGAUGAUUAGUCUACUUUUGAACAUGUUGAGAGUGCUAGUAUGAACACCUAGAGGGGGGGGGGGUGAAUGUGUGUUUAAAAUAAACAUUGGCAAAUAGAUACGGAAUAAAAUAAAUUUCGAGUAAAGUCUAAAUAAGGAUCAGACUUUGAAAUUGAGUCUGAAGAAUAAUAGACUUUGAUCAAGUUAGACUUUAGCAGUUAAAUAGAAUUACGAACAAAAUAAAAGAGUUCAGGGAAGAGAAUAAGAACAUAUAAUUUAUAAUGGUUCAGCUUAGAUCAAGCCUACAUCCACUCUCCCACACUAUCAGCCUCCUGACUGGAUUCUACUAUGCAAUCAACAAGAGAUUACAACUUUAAGUGCAAAUACUUAGAAGUAGAUCACACUAUCUCACUAAGUCACUCUUUUGGUAUUUCUCUCACGAUCACAAACGUUUAAGCUCACAAGAGACAAGUGUAUAAUCGAAGUUGGAUUAAACUUUGGAAUUAUUACUUCUACGCUCCGUUUCUUACUUGCUCAUUGGUCCUUGAUCUCCUUAAAUACUUCUCUACUUCCAAACUAGCCAUUGGACAGUAUCUAGAGGAUCGUCUUCCAAUCUACCAAUUGGACAAAUCUGUAUCUAUAAGAUUUGGUAGCCGUUGAGUGACAAAAGUAGAAUCUCAAAUUGAUUCUGAUCGCCCAUACAAACAGAAUCUUGAUUUCCAUAAAUAAAGCUUCUUCGUUUAGAAAGUUUUUGUCUUCAAGAUCCAAUUGUCAAUCAAUUAGAUUGAGUCAAUAAAAUCUAUCUUGAUGUAGAAUCCAAAUCAGAUCACUAGCCGUUAUAUGUUUGGGACUUGUGUUACAUUAUGUCAAGUUGUUUCAUUCUGAAUAUGCUUUGUUUUGAAUCUGCUAUGUUCUGAACUUGUGUCUCGUUCUGGAUCUUGUCACGUUCUGGACUUGUGUCUUGUUCUGGAUGUAAAGUCUGAGAGUGUUUUGUUUGAAGUAAAGUCUGAAUGUCUUCCAUCUAAAGUAGAGUUUGAGUGUCUUCAGUUUGAAGUAGAGUUUGAGUGCAAUAUACUUUACAAUCUGGACGUAAGUCUGAAUAUAAUCUGCUUCUGAAUAGAUUUAGCUUUAAAGUCUGGACACAAUCUGAAUAAGUUCAGCUCCAGCAUAGAGUCUGUUUUCUGGUUCUUUCAAGUAUAGACUUUGUCAAUAUCAUUUACAUGUUCUAUCAUCUGUAUAGUCUAUUACUCAGCCAUUAAAUACGUUAGUAGCCUUUGAUUUAUUUUGUCAUCUUCAAAACAUCAUAAAUGAUUUCCCUAAUAAUCUCCUCAUUUUUGAUGAUGACAAAACAAUAUCUAAAUAUGCAGAUGUUUCAAUUGUCUCUAAGCAAAAUAUCAAAAAAUAAUCACACGUAUUAUAUCAAAUCUCAACUCACGAAUCACAAAAAUAAAUCACACGAUUCUUUCUUCAAUAAAACAAAUCAAAGAAUAUGAUCAUUUUAAAAUUCAAAUCAAUCAAGGCAUGAAGAGAAUAUAAAUAUAAUGAGAAUUUUUAAAUUAUGUACUCAAACAAAUUGAAAAAAAAAAUACCUUCCUUACCAAAUUCUCUUUCUUAUUUUUCUUUAUUCCUGCAAAAACAACUCACAUUUUCUUUGGUACUCAUAUUUUCUUGGGUCCUUCAAAGUUAGUAGAGUAUGUCGUUUUUACCCAAUCUUUCUUAAUAGGUCUCCAGACUUUAGGACAUUCUUUCUCAAAGUGUUUCAAGUCUCCACAAUUUGAACACUUGAGGGCAUUUCGACCAACAAGUUUUGUAAAAAUCAAUGAUCAUUCUAACUUGCUAGACUCUAACCAAUCUCAUAGCAUCAUACUCAUAAGUACCUAUGUAGAGAGAUAUUAGGGAACAAAGUCACAUGAGAGAGAGAGAGAGAGAGAGAGAGAGAGAGAGAGAGAGAGAGAGAGAUGAAGCCCUAGGUUGGCUACUUGGACGAUAGAAUCGGGAGAGUGACUUACACGUAUGGAAAUUUAGUCUUAAAAUCGAAUAAAUUUUUUUGUCCAUGCUAGUUUAGGAAAAUGAGCAUAAAUUUGUUGAUUUAGAUCAGAAUAACCUAAUUCCAAAGCAAAAGAAUGGAGACUUGAAGAAUCACAAAUUUUGUGUUUUCAGUUUCCUAAACUAAGCAUUGUAGGCUUGUCAAUUUUUAUUUUUUAUUUUUAUGAAAGUGGGCUAAACGGUGGUGGACAAAAUGAAAAAAAGUACAAGAACUUCAAUGGUUGCUCUUCUAGGCGCCUGGGGAAAUUGAAAUAGCAUCAAUUCUUCGAGAUUGAUGGCAAUAACUCUUCAAAGAUGCAGGCUUUAAAAGCCCCGACUCUUCAAGGACGGUUUGGAAACUCUUUUAGGUUUUCAAAGGAUUUGAACUCUUUAAGGUUCGAGAGACUUACACCAAGCAAAUUUCAUUAAUCAAAUUCGGUCUAUAAUUUAUAGACUCGUUGACCUUUUAUAUCAAAACAAAAGAAGAGUAAGAGGCUAGACUCAAGUAUAGAAACUAAUAGUCAUUAAUGUACAUAGAAACUAGAAGCUACUACAAUUGAAACAAUAUUUACCAAUGCUUUUGCUUGUCCCAAAGUGCCUUGAUGCAAGUUUUAAUGUUUGGGAAAUGACAAAAUCUUUAUGACAAAACAGAGUGUCGUUGAUAUUGAAUGCACGCUAAUCUUCUUGGUUGAACAAGUUGGUCUUGAAUACGAGCUACAUCAGAGAGAGAGAGAGAGAGAGAGAGAGAGAGAGAGGAGCUAUUUCCCUCCGACAAUUAUAAUUUUAUUGACAACUUCUAUUUGAUGUAAGAGAUAUAACUUUUGUGGGAUUAAAGACACUUUAUUGAACUUUUUUCAGGAUAUAUAAAUGGGCGAGCCAUCAUAUAUCGCUUGAUUUGGUACAAUAUAGAUUAUUAAUUAUGUCAUUUUGUGAGUUCAUUUCAAACUGAAUCGUAGUUAAUUGACUCAGCUAUAAUUGAAAGAACUAACUUGGAAAAAAUCACGAUAAUGGAUGAUGAUAGUGACAUGUACCUAGCACAUAGACCCCACCAAAUUAGUAGAAAAUGUCAAUGUGCUUAGUGAGGUCACGAUAAAAAUAUCACAAUGGACUAUUAUUAGAUAAAUUUGCUAAUUUGUACGUGUCCUCAUGGGAGGACUCAAAACAUCAAUUCUAAGAAACUCUUAUAUACUUUUAUGUCAUGUACAGCUUUUUUACGUACUUUUUGAAUUAUAAUUAUAUAUAACAUUGCGAUCAAGUGAUUUUUUUGAAUUUGACGCCAUCGCGUUUUAGUUAAUUGACAUUGACUAACCGGGUGUGGAUCCAUCCUAUGCGAAGACUAUGUGCUAACUGGUUUUGGAAAGUAAUAUUCAAUAUAAUCAUUGUACCUAAAACAAUAUGUGGAAAUGUAAACGCAAGAACCACCCUCCGCAAAUGUACAGCGACUAUUGAAGGCAGUCUCUAAGGAAAUAAAAUUACAUAAACAAGGCAGAUAGCAGCAAAAAGAGACGGAGAUCUUCCAUGGUUUAGAAGUGAUGGUGGUGCUUCUUGCCAUGAUGAGACUCUUUAUCUUUUUUCUUGGCCUCCUUCCUCUCGUGGUGCUCGUGGAAGGCGAACCCGACAGCCCCGACGGCAGCGGCGGCAGCUAUUUCCUCCUCUAUCUUGUGCCGGUGAGCGUGCUCCGGGUCCUUCUUGGCCUUAUGCUUCUCAUGCUGCAAUUUGUACAUCAUUAAUCAGGAAUUGCGUGCACGAAACAAAAUGAGUUAAGGAAAAGAAAAAAAAGAGUUCUCUAUUAUGUCUACUUUUUUUUAUACAAGCUCUGAGCAUGGGAUAAUUUCCAGAAAAAAAAUUUAAUUUAUUCACUUUGAAAAGAAGUAUUUGAUCAUGUAAAUAGUGCUAUGGAUUACAACUAUGUUUUUUGUUUAAGCCAAUUGUAGGGAAAUCUUAUUCCUCUAGCUGAUGGGUGAAGAAAAUCAAUUAAAUUCAAACUAUUGUUCAUUUAUAAGGAUGAUCCAUUCUCGCAUGGCAUGCCAUUAUCAUGUCGAGUUGAAAUAUGUGAGUUUAAUCGAGAUCUUUUGCAUCCAAUGCUCGUGAAUAACCUGAUGAUUUAGGUCAAUAAGGUGAAGACUCAAAGUUUAUCUAAAUUAUAAAUGGGAAAAGAAUUUCAAGAAUUGAAAAGAAGAUGAUAAUUAUUACCAAGGCAUAAGCACCGGCAGCGACAGCACCAAGCUCGCCAAGCUGCUGGAGGUGCUUGUGGUGCUUCUCCUCCUUCCUGUAAUCAACCGUAGGCUCCGUGAAGACGACCCCAGGCUCUGUGAAGGCAUCAUCCUUCUUGUGGUGGCUGCGGUGGUGGUGGUGGUGAUGNNNNNNNNNNNNNNNNNNNNNNNNNNNNNNNNNNNNNNNNNNNNNNNNNNNNNNNNNNNNNNNNNNNNNNNNNNNNNNNNNNNNNNNNNNNNNNNNNNNNCCCUUGCCCAAGCGAGCGUUGCCCCUAGUCAGCCGAGCGUCGGCUAGCCACAGCGAGGCUGACGCUCGCCUGGGCAAGGGCGCUCGCCAGGGCCAGGGCGCCCUCGCCGGGGGUCACCCUCGCCCGACCGGGCCUCGCCUGUGGCGGGUGAGGCCAGCCGGCUAGCUGUGGCCGGUAGCCGGCCGUCGCCUAUGGCCGGUGGCUGGCCACUGGAAAAAGCCAAAAAAAAAAAAAACAGAAAAAAAAAUUCAAAAAAAUUUAAAAAUUAUUAAAAAAAAUAUUUUAAAAAAUAUUUUAAAAUUAUUAAAAAUUAUCAACGUCAGUGCCGACAGUCCUACGUGGCACCGCUGGCGUCCACGUCAGCAUUUUCCAGCCAAAAUUGGCUGGAUGGACUGAAUCGACAAGAAGUGAAAAUGUUUAUGACUCAAUUGGCAAAUUUAAAAGAUUUAUGACUGAAUUGACAAAACCACAAUAAGUUUAGGACUUUUUGGACAAUUCUCCCCAAUCUGACACGAGUUUGAAGGGAAGUACUGUUCUUCCCUAUGGUGUUGGACUUUUGAGGAGGGUGUCAGAAGUCUCUGCUGUGCCCCUAAAGUUUGUACCCAGGAGCAUACGCUAAAUAUGGUGCCUUUAGAUUUUUACAGUCAGCACUAUCGGCGGAAUUAGUGGGGCAAAUCCUUGCUUUGGUGCCCCAAUCCGCAAGAUUGCUAACAACCAUCUUUUCUGUUUACAAGAGGUUCAAUUUUCAGGACGCAAUCCCAGUGUCUAAAUUCAGAGAAAGUGAAUCAGAGUCAAUGUCACGUUCCUGAUAUUUCUGUGCGGGAAUUUAUUUUGUAUUCAGACCACAUGGCUCAUAUACUAUGCUGUUAAUCGCACUUCUUAUCUUAGUUUCAUCAACUGGGAAUCACUAUUUAUAUAAUAAAUCAAUAACUAAUCAUUCCCCUUAAUGCCAAAAGCAUAUUUAGGAUUUUUUUUUUUGCUCAAUGAUGGAAAAUAAGACAAUGUCCAAGAGGCAUAAGGACGAUCAUUCAUUCCAUUGUUAGUAGAUUGUUUCCUGUAUAAAAUUAAACUUACGAAAGAUUGCUGAUGCUUUUUUUCUUUUCAGAACAUGCUUCAACGAAGUUAGAAGCAAUAAGAGCUUCUCAUUAAAGAAAACUGCGGUAUGCUUUACAUCAUUUCGAGUUGACUAGUACAGUCACAAUUAAGGAAAGAACUCAUACACAAGGAUCAAAUCAGAAUGUAUGUCUCGAUAGACAAUAUUCACAUGGGUACAGAGACAAACAUAUAAAACUUGUAAAUAGUUGUCAACAAUCAUUGCCAGGGAUUACCUCCUUUGUUACGAUUACCAAACUGCAAAGCAAGGACUUCAGUGAUCCAUGCAGUCACCUUUGCUUUGUCCAGAUGGAGGUGCAUCAUCAGUUAGGGAGCCAAAGGGAACACUAGAGGCUCCAUCAGAAGAUGUGGAAGAUGGCGUGGAGGUUUAUCGCUGUCUUCUGUAGCAUCAUAAAAAGCUCCCACCCCCGCUAGACAGUGAAAUGGGAGAUCUUUCGCCUGAGGCAAUUUCAUAGUUGUCUCAGAAUUGAUAAUUAUCCUUGAGAGAAAAUAUUGGAUGCUUGAAUAGUGUCACAUAGGAUUUGCAGCUGUCCAUUCAUCAGUUGCCAUGUGUAAACAUGGCACAUGGCUCCCACUCUAACUUCAUCAGACUCCUCUUUUGUGUCCUCACCUCUCUCGUUUCUCUCUCGCCUCUCUCACUUUCUUCUCUUGCUCUUCCUAAAUCGAAUUGCAACUUCAAAUCUCUUCUACUUUUUUCGUUUCUUUCACAGCUACUUUUUUUUUCCUCUUUGAUUUACCGGUGUUUCAAUCUCACCCUUGAUAAUUUGAUACCCUCACUACCAUGGGAUCCUUUGGCGUCAAACAGCUCAAACAGCUGGCUCAGCUUUUGAAUAUAUUUUAUAUGGAUGGCGCUGCAAUUGCAACAUGUCUAUUGUGUUCAAAGACACGUAAAAGAGGAAAGUAAAUAUUUCUCUUGAAGAUGUGUAAACACAUACGGACCCAAGAAGAACCUGUAAAUUCAUUACUGAAAGAAGCAUCUUUGUGCGGGAGAAUCACGUCCUACUGAGACAGAUACCAAGAAAGAAGUAAAAGAGAGCAGGUCAAGCUAGUAGACAUCCACUUAAUACUCUCAAACUUGCUAUUAUUUUCACCCAGCUUGAUAGAAAAUUUUUUACCUAUGGGACUUGAUAUCUUCAGAGUACAGUAAAAAUUCCAAGAUGGGUUCUUCAGAAGAAAAGUGUCCUGCCCAAGCAAACAACUAAUUAGGGCGCGUUUGGUAACGAUUCUGUUCCGGGGAGCUGAUUCUGACUAAAAAUGAUUAUUUUUUAUUCUAUUCCCGAGAACUGAUUCUGAGUAAAAAAGUGUGUUUGGUAACUGUCCAAAAUUUUUGAUUCUGGAAUAGAAUUGCGUUUGAUACCGUGUUAAUUGAUUAUGUUCCAAAUUAAUUUCUUUUGAUUUUUAAAUAAUUUUUUUACUUUUUAUUUUUUUCUUUUAUUUUUUUCCUUUUUUUCUUUUAUUUUUUCAUUUUUUUCUUUUAUUUUUUCUUUUAUUUUCCCUUUUUUCCUAUUCUUCAUCUUCUUCUUCAUCUGGCCGGCGACGCUCCUGGCAACUGGGCGAGCCUCACCGGCAGCUGGGCGAGGCUCAACCUCGCCCGAUCUGGCGAGGCCGAGCCUCGCCCAGCCACCGGCGAGGUUGGGCCUCGCUAGAUCUGGCGAGGCCGAGCCUCGCCAAUGGCUGGGCUUGCCUCUGGCGACGGGCGGCGGCGGACGGCGGCGGGCGGUGGCGGAUGGCAACCGGGAUGGCGAAAGGGAAAAGCGAGAGUUCCACCGUUUUGAUUGUUUUUCUGAUUCUCGGACGAAGAAUCAAAUUUUUUUUUAUUCUCAAAUCUUGUCCAAAAUUGUUCCCGGAAACAAAAAUUUUACCAAACACGAUUCUCAUCCCAAACUGAUUCUGAGAAUAAAAAAUUAGAAUCUGACACUGUUUGGCACGUUGCCAAACAGGCCCUUAGUAGCAUUGCCAAGCAAGUCUAUACAUAGUGAUUAGAAAACCGAGUGCAGUAAGAGUAAUAAAUACUAGAAGAGAUGGAUCCGAGUUCGGGAUCACACGUACAGAAAGGAACUAAGCGAAGAAAUAGUACAGGCACAAGCAAUUCUGUGGGUUCCAGGACGAUAGCCGACAAAAGCAGUAAUUGAACCAGAACAUGGAAUUGCUCAAUUUCUUCGGAGCACUUAGCAACACCUAAGGAACAACAAAAACCCAGCUCCAUCGUCAGAGUAUUUUCAUCGGACGCCUGGUCGGCAUAGCGUUCCAUGACAAGGCGACAAAUCCAAAACGGAGAAGGAGCACAAAGGGUAUCGACAACGGGCCGAGAUGUAACAGCGGGACGACGACAGACAUGGAGUCGGCGUUGGCAAGUCGGAAUGCGGAGACGGCAGAGGCGGGAGGCCAAGCCCAGGCCUCCUGCUUCGAGGGAGGGACGAAGGUGGGGUUGAUGUCCAUCGCUCUGCCGCCGUCUCGGAGCGCGGACUGUUGGGGCUGGUUCGGCAAACUCUUGGGGCCCCUCGCCGGCGCUCCGCCGUCAGUGGCGGCGGCGGCGGCCGCUGGUGAACCGGGAAGAAAUGAAAAAAAGUCCGAUGAAGUCAGGGUGGACCAGCGUGUACACGUGACUGAUGAAUCGACUACUGUUGAUCUUACGUGGCAUUGAUCAAUUACGUGAAGAGACAAUGUAAAGUAGAGAAAGGGACCUAACCGCUCACGUGUUGCUAAUUAUCAUUUUUUCUUUUGAUCAAGUUCAUUUCUUUCGCGAAAAAUAAAAAUAUGAUUUUUUUUUUUAAAUAUGACCACUUAUAUUAUUUAUAACAAUUUUUCAUUAUAGAAAAUAAUUAUGUCUAAACAUUCUCAUUGACUAUAAUAAUAUUGGUCGUUCAUUUAUUUUUGUUGCUAUAUAAACAAUUAUUUUUAAAAAAUAAUUUUCAAAUUAUUUAUUUUUUUGUGAAUAAAUAGGGCUUCAAUUUCUUACUGAUAUAUAUAUAUAUAUAUUACUUUCUUACUUAUGUAAUUUUAGAAAAUAGGGAAAAAAAUACCAACAUUUAAUCUGUUUACCGUGAUACAUUUAUUUCAAAUAUAUAUAUAUAUAUAUAUAUAUAUAUAUAUAUAUAUAUAUAUUGUAACAUAAAACUCCAAACUUAUACCCGUAUGACACAUUUAAUCCAAAAUUUUCUACGUGACACAAAAAACUAUAAAAAAACACAUUUACCUCAAUUAUUUUUUUUAUAAUACCAAAAAUUAUUUUUUUAUAAUACCAAAAAUCCCAAACUUGUAGUUAUAUGACACAUUUACUCCAAAUUUUGAGGUGAAUGUGUCGUACAGAUACAAAUUUAAAAUUUUUAGUGUCACAAAAAGUUUGGUAUGGUUUGGGGUAAAUAUGUUACAUGGAUAUAAGUUUGGAGAUGUUUGUGUCAUAAAAAAAAAAAGUUUAAAUAAAAUGUCACAUUGGGUGUAGUUUAGAGUUUUUAAAGGCUUUUUCCCUAGAAAAUAAUAGGACCAUGUACUUCUUGGGUGGAGCUAUCUGCAAAGGAGGACGUGUUAGUGAGAUUGAAUUUUGUUUCUACUACAUUUAUUCUUUUACUUUUAUUAAGCCCAUUUAUUUAGCAAAAAAUAAAUAAUUUAAAAGUAUUUUUAAAAAAAAUUAUCGCUCCUAUUGCUUAAAAUAUAUAGUCAAUGAAAAAGGUUUUCAUUAUCAACAAUAAGUUACAUUUAAAUAUUUUCACAAGCGAUGAAAAUUUAUUUAUAUUUUGGAGUGAUAUAAGUGAUAAUUUUACAAUAUUCUCCAAAUUAUUCAUUUUCUGUUAAACAAAUAAAAUCUACUCUCUUUCUUUCUUUUUAAGAAAUGCAACUUUAGUAGAGAAUAAACAUUUGCAGUCCUUACUUGCUGGGGAUCAACAUGUAUUAUUUUGGACUAUAAAGAAUUUUGAACAUGACAAGGAAGAAUUCAAUUUUAUCCCAUUUUCCGAGAAAUAAUUUGAGCAUCUAAUCCAUUGGAACGUCACUUUAUAAAAUGUAAACAUAUAUAUAACAUUAAAUUUUUUAUACUCACCACAGCAGGAAAAAAAAAGACUCAGAAAAGAAAAAUUAAAGACACCCUAACUUUCAAAAGAACAUCCAUCAAGAAUUGAAUUUUUGAAGAAAAUAAUGAUAGCCCAAUUGCACAUAACAAUAAAAUUCUAUGCGUAACAAUAAUUUUUUUUCUAAGGAUUACAAACUCCUCCCAAAAGAAAUAAUAAUUCAAGAUUAUAAUGUUACAAAGAAAAUUUGAUUAUUGAUGUUACGAAAUGCAUAAUUUAGGAUUUUUUAUGAUAUCAUCCCUAUAACAUAUUCAACUAAAACCUCAUUAGGGCACAGCUAAUUUAACUAGAACAAGAUAGUGUCCCUCUCAAAAAAUGUUAACAAAUUGAUAAAAAAAAAAAAAGCAAAUAUAAAAUAAGCUUAUAGUACCCCUUUCCGAUGCGGUCUCUUUUAUUUAUUUUGUGUAAUUUUUUGGAAUGUAACUACCCAUGUUUUUUUAUAAGCUCAUUAUCAUAAACAUUUUAAAUUCUUUCUCUUGUUAAAAUGUAUCAAUUUUUUUUCCAGCCUUUUAAAGUUCCGUCCUAUUGCAUGAUGAAAAUAAUGUAACAAAUUAGGAAAUCAAUCUUGAAUCUUGAAAUUACUUCCUAAUUUACUAAUCUUAACCUGACUCGGAUUAGGAAAGAACAUCUCACUCCUCCGCACACUCUCGAAACUUGACUCCAAAGCCGUCCCAAUUCCAACGGUAAACUAUAUAUUUUCCUCUCUGCCUCCGCGUCCUCAUCGUCCUCUGUCUCUCUGUUCUCUCCAACGUUGUCUCUCUCUCUCUCUCUCUCUUUCGCCCUCUCUAAAUUCCUCUGAACCGCGUUGCCCUUUGUUGUUCUUUCGAAGCACUUUCCUGUUUCUUUCGCCAAAAACCCUUGAAGUUCAUCGAUUUCUUGGGCCCCAGAUCACCUGCCAUGGGCAACAUCCUGAGAGGUGAUGUCCGCUCGCCGCCAUUGAUGGGCUCUUCAUCGUCGCGCGUUUCUCAUCUGCAAGAUCACGAGCAGAAACCAGUUGGCGACCACCUGAGAAGCGAGGUCCACUCGCCGCCGCCGUCGAUGGACUCUUCCUCGUGCCUUUCUUCUCUGCACGAUCAGGAGAAGGAUCGUGACGAAGGAGCCAGAGGUACUUCGUCUGCAGGAGUCCCCGUCGCGCCUGAUCGGAACACGAAGCAAGUUGGCGACCCUUCUCAAGAAAUCGUUCCUGCCCAACUGAAGCGAAAAUCCAUGGCCUCACUUACCGAUGCCGAAACCUUAAUUGUGGAGAAGAAAGCGAAGUGCCAAAGAACGCAGAAGGGAAAGAAAGAGGCCUCAGGAUGUGACACCGAGGAAGUUUCCACAGAGUUGACGCUGCUCUUCGACCCUUAUAAGAUCAAGAAGAGGCUUACGCAAAGCGAUCUCGGCCACCUGUCGAGGCUCUUGAUCGGGCGGGACUUUGUGAAGAGCCACUUUCUCCGGUGGAUGAACGAGGAGACAGUGAGGCAAGUCGAGAGCGGCGAGGGGGCCGACGUCAUCGUGAGGGACUUGGACACGUGCUCUGAGCAUCGACUGGUAUUUGUGUUUUGGGCGUCGUCUGGGUCGUACGUCCUCAAGGGGGGUUGGAUCAAGGAGUUCGUGAAACGGAGGGGCUUGGCAACUGGCGAUGAGGUCGGGAUAUAUUGGGAGCCUAGUGCUAGCGAAUUCCACUUUAGCCUCCUCCACAGAGCGAAUCAGGCUUGAACUUGAUCUAGUUUUUUUUUUUUUUGGUUGUUAACCAACAGGAAAAUUUUGAUCUCUGCAAAAGGAUAUUAGUGAUAGAAUUCUAUUGCAUGCAAUGACACUAUCUCUCAGGAAAUUUAAUUCUUGGCGAAUGCUUCUUUUGAAGCCUAGUUCUGUCUUCAAUAUUCUUGUGAGAGUUUUCACUGUGGUAAUAUCUUUGAAUGGAUGAAAUUGAUUAUUGUAGAUUGACAACAUCUGACUUUCUUAAUUCUGCCUAAGCACAAAUUUUAAGCGAUCCUUUUUUAUGACGGACUUCUUAUUUCGUAAUGAUCAAUGUGGCUCUAAUUUCCUAUUAUAUAAAUAGGCUUUCUGCUAAGAGAGUUCAGUUUUGUAAUAGCGGCCGCAUUACCGGGCAAGUCUAUGUAUAAGUUGGCUUGGUUUACACCACAUGCCUAUAGAUGAGUGUGCAGAUUGCAAUGCUGUUGACAAAUCAAUACACGCCCACAUAUUUUGUGCUUUCGCCUCAACAGUGAAUGCAUAAGCUGGUUUUUAGUCACUGUUUCAUCAAGAUGUUUCUACUGAACUGUCCUGAUCAACAGCUCUCUGAUGUUUUGCAAUAGCAUAGGAUAUCCAAAGGAACCAAAGUCAACUUCUUGUAGCUUUCUCCAGCUUUGGCCUUGGACACUUUUUUGAAAAACUUCCAAAUCCCUGCCUGCACAUUGGCAUGUCCAUGUUUUAUCAUCAUGAAGAAGUCGCUUAGUCCUAAGACCCAAAAAAUUGCGGUAGACUUUGUAUUGUUUCGAAAGGUGAGCGAUCAAUAUGGAUUUCAAGCAUCUCACUUCCAAGCAGAGGCAGUUUCUUUAGUUCUCUGCAACAUUAACUUACUAGUUUUAGGAAAUCCCUUCUCUUUUUUUGAGCAUUUUUCCAUAACAAAUGUGCAAUGUAAAAGCUUCGAUGAUAAAAAAAGGAGGAGGGAUCAAAAGGGGUCGUGAUUUCUCAAUAAUUUGGAUUUUUUCCAAGAGUGGUUCGGGGGGUUACUCAUAAUGAUAUCAUUGAAAUUCAAGUAUUUUCCAAGUACAGGAUUCCUUGUGACUGUAGUCCAGAGAGGACAAUUUUUCAUAGAACAUACAACUUUAACCCGCAAAUCAUCACUCACUCACUCUGCCCAGAACAGAAAGGUUCAUUGAUUGCGUUGGUCUAACAACACUGAUGUCGGCUCUGUUGAGGUUUGGCUCCAUCGUAUAGUUUUCUUGCAAUUAUUGUUAGCUCAUGGAGAGAGGGGAGCUAAGAUCAGGGUACAUGUUUAGUGAUCUGGGUUGAAGGGGAGUACUGUUCUCCCCUACGGCUUUGAACUUCUGAGAAGGUUGUCCGGAGUCUCUGCUGUGCCCCUGAAGUUUGGACCAAGAAGCAUCCGCUAAAUUUGGUGCCUUUGGAUUUUUACAAUUGGUUCUAUUGGCGGAGUUGGGGAAGCAAAUCCUUGCUUUGGUGUCUAAAUCCAGCAGAUUGCUAACGACCAUCUUUUUUGUUUAUAACAAGUUCGUUUUUCAGGACGCAAUUCCAGUGUCUGAAUCCAGUGAAAGUGAAUCAGAGUCAAUCUCACCUUCCUAAUGUUUUUCUGCGGGCAGAUAUGUUUUGUAUUCAGACCACAUGGCUCAUAUAAUAUGUAGCUAAUCACAUUUCUUAUCUUAUCUUAGUUUCAUCAACUGGCAGUCACUUAUCAUAUAAUAAAUACAUCAAUAACUAAUUAUUCCCCUCAACACCAGAAGCCAAUUUAGGAAUUUUGUUUCAGUCGACAAUGGAGACCAUGGCAAUGUCCACCAGGCAUAGCAUGGCAAUAUUGAAUGGAGGAUAAUUCAUUCCAUUGAUAGGAGAACGUUUCCUGUAUAAGAUCAAAGAUUGUUGAUGCUCUUCUUCUUUUCCAACAUGCUUCAACGAAGGCAGAAGCUGCAAGAAGACAGAUUAGUCCUACAACCGCAAAUGUUCUACAUCUAUUCCUGUGGACUAAGUACAGUCACAAUUAAGGAAAGAAUUCCACACACUCAGAUGCAAUCAGAAUGUAGGUCUUGAUAGACAAAACAGUAUUCACAUGCAUGCAUAGACAGACAUAUUGUAUUUGUAAGUAGUUGUCAACAACCAUUGCUAGAGACUACCUCCAUCGUUAUAAUUCCUAGACUGCAAACAAGGACUUCGGUGACGCAUGCAGGUGCCUUUGCUCUGUCCAGAUGGAGUUUACAUAAUCACUUAGGGAGCCAAGGGGAACGCUAGAGGAUUCAUCAGGAGAUAUGGCAGAUGGUCUGGAGGUUUCUCGCUAUGUCUUCUGGAUUACAGUAAUCCAUUCAUGAGUUGCCACGUGUACAAAUUGGGUGCCACUCUGACUUCAUCAGACUCCUUUUUGUUUCCUCACAGCUCUCGUUACUCUCUAUGUCAGCUCUCACUUUGUUUCCUUCAUCCUUCUUCAAAUCCCUAAAUCUAAACCCAACUUCAAGUAUCUUCUCUCUCUUCUCCUUUUUCGUUUCUUCACGGUUCCCUUUUUUCUUUGCAUGCCUCCUGUUUGCCAACAGUUUCGUCGUCAAUCUUGCCCUUGAUCCCCUCAUUGUCACGUGAUCCUUCGGCAUGAAACAACUCGCGUGUAGCAUGUCUAUUGUGUUCAGAUACGCAUAAAACAGGAAAGUCAAUAUUUCUCUAAAAGAUCUGUAAACGCAUACGGACCCAAGAGAAGCCUGUAAAUGCAUUAUUGAAAGAAACAUUUUAAUGCAGGGCAACCCCACCCUACCAAGACAGAUCGAGAAAGAAGUAAAAGAGAGCAGUUUGAGCUAGCAGCUACAUCCACUUGACACUCUUAGACUUGCCUUUACUUUCACCGAGUAUGAGAAGAUACUUCAUAUGGGACACGAGAUCUUCAAGGUACAAAAGAAUCCCAAGAUGGGUCCCUCCGAGGAAAAGUGUCCUGCCCAAGCAAACAACCGAUUAGUACCAUUUCCAAGCAACUCUGUAGUGCAGUAAGAGUAAUUAAGAAAAGAAGAUAUCGAUCCAAGUUCACUGAUUAUAUGUGCAAAAAGGAACUAGGCAAAGAAACAGUACAGACACAAGCAAUUCGAUAGGUCCAAGAAGAAUGAGUGUUGAGAGACGACACAAACGGUAAUCGAACUGGAACAUUGAAUUGUUCCAUUUCUUCCGAUCACUAAGCAAUACCAGAGAAGCAACUAAGACCCAGCUCCAUCAUCAGAGUAAUUUCCAUCCGACACCUGGUGGGUUCACAGGUUUGUAGGCGAAGUAUGAUCAACAAUACCUUGAGAGUGGUCAGUACUAAUUGGAGCAGAAGCAGCAAUUUUGGUUCUAGGUGACUGGUAAGAUGAGCCACUGGGUUCCCCCUCCAAACACUGAAGCAUCCCGUAAAACGGUAAACGUUAAACGGUAAAUUACAAUAUCAAUUAAUGUAGUCCACAAUUAGAAAAACUCUUACACAAAUAUCUUACCAGAAACAAGUACGAAAAGAGGUCUAUCCUAACAGCUGAGGAUCGCAUCUCGUAAUCUCGGAUUUCUAAUUUGCGUGAGAUGCAGCAACGUGUGGCAAAUAAUCUGCGUGGUCAUCUCAGGGGCUGCAGUAUGAUGUCAGAGCGCCACCGAUGAGUUUGAUCCAUCAGAGUUUCCCAUCACUCGACACCGAUUUUCAUGACUUUGGCAACUUGACUCAAGUUGAUAAGCUCUGUAGUUGACCGGAAGAAAGUUCAGAUGUACUCCGUGUCCAUGUGGAGCGCCGGUUCAAUCUGGGCCGAAUCCCAGGAGAACCGGUUUGAUUUUCGAUUCCAAGGUCGGAAUGAGCUUUGAAGCUUCUUUCAGAAAAAUCUUUUGCGCCCGCCCACGAGAAUCAAACCAUGAUAUCACACUAUUAAGAAACAACAACAUAACCACUUAACUGCCAUAUGCAAAAACCACCGGGGGUUCGCCCCAGUGGCCACCCUUCCCACGUGGAAGGGGGAGGUGAGGGGUUCAAAUCCCCACCUUCUCAGGGGGGGAUGGGGGUAGGGACGCGUAAGUUUGAGAGUGGGUUGCGACUCCCACGCCCUGCAAGCGGCAGGGCACAAGUCUGCGAGUGAGUGUAGAGUAGGAAUAGAGUAGGACUGACCAAAAAAAAAAAAAAAAAACUGCCAUAUGCAAAUGGUGCUACUUUUAGAAUAUGAUUUUUUGCACAUAAUAAAACUCGGACCGGCGGUUCCAUAACAGACCAGGAGUCACGGGGCUGGAUCCUAGUUUUAAGUUGCAAAUUGACUUAUCCCAAAACUGAUCAUUCCUAAUUUUGAGUGACUUUCAUGCUUUUUAAUUUUUUUUCCAUCCCGUUUUUCUUAGAGAUUUUGAAAUUUGAGUUCUCAUUCAAUGUACAGCUACUAACAUGUAGUCAUACAGAUUUGGUUCUUCAUCAUUUCAUGUCAAAACAAUGCUGUUUUAUGUUUAAAAACUUUGGAAAAAAAGUGAAAAAAAAAAAAUACUCAAAAUAACAUAACAAAGGCAUACAUUGUUUUGGUCAAAUUAUAAAUGCAGCCUUGUAUCUUUGAAGUGAAUUUUACUUUUUCCUAAUCUUUAAUAAUCACACAAUUUGACUAUUAUUUAGCUUGAGAGACCUCAAACAUUCCAAAACAUCUAACCAUUAACAUGUAAACUCAUUAAUAAUCUUAGGAUUAAUACUAUGAAAAACCUUAAACUUAUACACCUAUGACAAAUUUAUACUAGACUAAGUUUUAGGUUACCAAAAACCUUAAAAUGGCACACAUAUAACAAAUUUAUCCAAAAUUGUUAUUUAGAUUACCAAAAACUCUGUAUUGGUACACUAAUGACAUAUUUACCUUCUAUUAGCUUCUGUUAAAUUGAAAUCGUUGAGUUGAAAGACGUACGGCAAUAACUUAAUUGACUUGAUAAGUUCACAUGAAAGUCCAUAUUAGUUUGGGAUAAAUUUAUUACAAGUAUACUAAUUUGGGAUUUUCAAUGAUCCAAAAAUUAGUUUAGACAAAUAUGUCACAUGUGUACGAGUAAAGGUUNNNNNNNNNNNNNNNNNNNNNNNNNNNNNNNNNNNNNNNNNNNNNNNNNNNNNNNNNNNNNNNNNNNNNNNNNNNNNNNNNNNNNNNNNNNNNNNNNNNNNNNNNNNNNNNNNNNNNNNNNNNNNNNNNNNNNNNAGGACAAAGUUUUUUUUUUUUUUUGCUUUUUUUCCAUCUAGUUUCAAGAGUAAGCAAACAUAUUUACUAAACUGACACAAUUUUUUGGGAGGGCAGGUUUUCGGGUAUGGUUGGGCUGGGUUCCCGAGGAAGUACCCUAGUUUAAAUCUCUUUUUUAGGUGCAGAGCUUCACUGAUGAGUGUUCCUUCGUGCCCAAGAAAACCCUGGGAUUAGGUUUUUUUUUUUUUUUUGAGCAAACCCUGGGAUUAGGUUUUUUUUUCUUUAGCAAAACCCUGGGAUUAGGUUACACUACACUGAAUUAGACAGCUAUGGAUUCAGAAUCUCUCUUUUAUCUUUGGAUUAAUCCCACGAAAAAUUUCAAAGUGGUACACUUGUACAAAUCUACUUUGAAUUAAUUUUUUCGCCACAAACUCCAUACCAGUAUUACCUUUAACAAAUUUAUUUCAAACUAAAUUUUUGACAACCAAAAAGCAAAAACUAAUUUGUUAAUCAUAAAUUUGCUCUCGAUUAGUUUUCAUUAAUUUGGAUUAAUACCACGAAAAUUCACAAAUUAGAAAUUGGGAGAGUGCUGAAUAUUCUGCCCUCGUCGAUCCCUUGGGACAUGUCCUUGCCCAUGUUCAGCGCUGCAUGCUGGCCAUGUUCUUGCCAUAAGUUCCAAAAAAAUAAAAUGAAUUUCUAUAAGCAAAAAUUAGUAUAUUAAUCAUAAGUUUACUUUUCAUUAGUUUUCAUUAAUUUGGAUUAAUACCACGGAAAUUCACAGACUGGAAAUUAGGGGAGCGUUGAAUAUUCUGCCCUCGUAGAUCCCCUGGGACAUCCUCUUGCCCAUGUUCAGCGCUGCGUGCAGGCCAUGUUCUUGCCGUAAGUCCCAAAAAAUAAAAUGAAUUUCUAAAUUAGCGUCAAAGGUCCUCGCACGGUGGAAAUAUACCUAAUAUCCCCCCUCCCCCAAAUAAUGCCGUAAUACUAGGAAACAGCAGAACUUAAUUAAGAUUGCGAUUUGAAUACUGAUUUCAUUACUUUAUUUUAAUUUAUUUGGAUCGUGCGAUGAGGGGGGAGCCCAAUCCACGUGAUUCCUUCCUAGUCGUGAGUGAGACUUGAAACCUACUCAAGGCAUCAUAAAUCAUAUUUUAAGGACAAUAUAUUAGGUGGAUUUCCGGAAAUUUCGCANNNNNNNNNNNNNNNNNNNNNNNNNNNNNNNNNNNNNNNNNNNNNNNNNNNNNNNNNNNNNNNNNNNNNNNNNNNNNNNNNNNNNNNNNNNNNNNNNNNNNNNNNNNNNNNNNNNNNNNNNNNNNNNNNNNNNNNNNNNNNNNNNNNNNNNNNNNNNNNNNNNNNNNNNNNNNNNNNNNNNNNNNNNNNNNNNNNNNNNNNNNNNNNNNNNNNUAGCUAACGUGAAUGCUAACGAUGCCAUAUAGGACUGUCCGCGCUGACAUUGACAAUUUUUAAUAAUAUUUUAAUAUUAUUGAAUUUUUAUUUUUUUUAUUUUUUUCUCUUUUUUAUUUUUUUCUUUCUUUUAUUUUUUGCUUCUUCUUAUUCCUUUUGCCAGUGGCUAGCCAUUGGCCAUGCCAGGUUGCUUGGCCUUGACUGCAAUCGAUGAGGCACGGCCGAGCGAGGGCAAGCUUCGGUGAGGCUCACCUUUGCCCGAGCAAGACCCAACGAAGCUCAGCUUCAUGCGAGGCUAGCCCUCACCGGUGUUGGCCAGGUGAAGGCGAUGCCGAGUGAGGUCAACCUAGCCUAGGCAAGGGCCGGCCUCGCCCAAUCUAGCCUGGGCUAGGCCGACCCUCAUUGGGCCUCACCUAGGCGGGUGAGUCCCGAUGAGGUCAGCCCUCGCCCAGGCCAAGGCAGCCUCACCGCGCAUUGCCUAUGCCCAAACAACGAUUAAUGAGGCCACCCCUCUCGGUAAGGCCACCUUGGCCUAGGUGAGGGCUGACCUCACCUUGCCUAGGCGAGGGCUCCCCUCGCCGGGGCUUGCUCGGCCACACCUCGCCUAUUGCAGGUGAGGCUAGUCGGCCCAACAUGGGGAGUGGCCGAUCACUGGCAAAAGGAAGAAGGAGAAGCAAAAAAGAAAAGAAAGAAAAAAAAGAGAAAAAAAUAUUAAAAAUUUCAAAAAAUUAAAUUAUUAUUAAAAUUUGUCAACUUCAGCGCUAGUAGCCCUAUGUGGCACUGUUGACUUCCACGUAAGUGAUUUCUGAUUUAAAUUUAUUGGGAUGGACUCAAUUGAUAAAAAGUAAAAAGGUUUAUGACUCAAUUAGCAAAAUUGAAAAGUUUAUGACUGAAUUGGUAAAAGUGAAAUAGGUUUAAGACUUUUUGAAUAAUUUUCUUAGUGAAAAUUUUUAUCUUUUUUUUUUAUAUUAUUUUUCCUUUGUCUUCUUUUGAAUCAAUUUCUUCACAUUUUUUUUUUCUAAUGGGACAAUUUGACGUUGGGGUUAAAUUAUCCGUUCCCCAUAUAAGAUUUUAGUUAAAUCAGUUUAAUUUGCUCCUCCACUCCGACUUCUCUUUAUAUCCUUCAAUUAUAAACUCUCUAUAUAUAUAUUUUUUUCAAAUUACAACAUUUUCUCUUUCCGAUUUUCAAUCGUCUUUAAGAAAGAGCUACAACACAACAACAAUUAAAAGAUAGUGAGGAAACUACAUAAAUUGAGUUCAUCAAAAGACAAAAUAGAUCAUAAGACUAUCAAUCUAUGAACUAGCUUCGUCUUCAAGUAGGAUUGGCUCCGGCAGGGGCGCAGAGUAGGGAUGGGCCCGGCGAAAACUAUAAGAAUGGUAUGACAUGGUGAUGGAGGUGUCGGCAGCGUGGUCAAACAAUUAGGUCAAAAUAAAAAGGGCGAAAGCGACGUCCCUCUUGGUCUGUGUUCCUGUGCUUGAUCCCCGUUCCAGUUGAUCUGAAAAAUUAUUGAAAAAGUCAUAACCCUAUUAUGCGGUGAUCAAUUCUAUUAUAAACCUCUAAAUUAUGUCAAUUUUGUUAUAAAUCUUUUGACAAUUACCAAUUUAGNNNNNNNNNNNNNNNNNNNNNNNNNNNNNNNNNNNNNNNNNNNNNNNNNNNNNNNNNNNNNNNNNNNNNNNNNNNNNNNNNNNNNNNNNNNNNNNNNNNNUAGACUUACAAAUGUGUCAAUUUAGUCUAUCCUCUUGAUAAUUGCAAAUUCAAUUUAACAUUUAACGAUUUGCUGAAUUUAGUAUUUACGGUCAAUUUGGACAAAAAUUUCUGAAGUGGUAGUUUAAUCAAUGCCGACCAUCCUGUGUGAUGCAAGUGAUGCUCACGUGGACAAUUUUUGUAAUUCUUUUGAUUUACUAUUUUUUUUUCUUUUUCUUUUUUUCUCUCUUUUUUUCAUUUUUGCCUUUUUUCCCUUUGCCGGCCAUUGACGAGGUCCGCGUAUGAAUACAAAUAGCCUGUGAAUAGAUACUUGCAUAUUUAUAGUGUAGUCAAAGAUGGAGGUGUGAUUUUACUAUAUAUAUACUUAUUGCUUACUUAUAGGUGGCCCUCCCCGGCUAAAAACGAAAUCAAAUACGUAAUAGCCAAAGCAUUAAGAAACAUCCUACGAGUAGAUCAUUGACACCUUUUCAAACAGUUUAAGAGUUACUUGGUAUCGGGAACAUAGUUUAAGGUUUGUAUUGGGGUUCUCUACUCUAAAAAAUCUAAGAUCAUUCUAACUCGUUAGAUCCCGGCCAAUCCCGUAUGCGACAUACUCAGAAGUACAUACGUAAAAAACCUAGGGAACAAAGUUACAUAUAAAAAACAAAAAGGGAAAGGAGCUAGGUCCCUCAGAUGAUGAUAACAUUAUUGACAACUUCUAUAGGGCUAACCCGUGAAGCUCCAUAGACACUUUCCUUCAAUGAACAGACGAACCGAGCGAGCCAAACACUUUGUGGAAUUAAAGACACUUUAUUGAACCUUUUCUAGGAUAUAUAAAAUGGGCAAGCCAUCAGACAUCGCUUGAUUUGGGACAAUAUAGAUUAUUAAUUAUGUCAUUUUGCGAGUUCAUAUCCGACUGAAUCGCAGGUGAUUGACUCAGCCAUAUUUUAAAAAACUAACCUGGCAAAAAUCACAAUAAUGGAUGAUGAUAAUGACAUGUCACCUAACACAUGAUCCCACCAAAUUAGUGGAAAAUGUCAUUAUGCAUAGUGGGGCCACAAUGAAGAAAAAAUUGCUAAUUUGUACGGGUCCCUAUGUUAGAGACUCCAAACAUCAAUUCUAGGUAAAUGAAGGGUUCCCUUGUACGUUUUAUUUCCUACGUAUCUUUAUACCAUGUACAGGUCUUUCACAUGAUUUUUGAAUUAUAAUUGUAUACAACAUUGCAAUCAGGUGAUUUUCUAAAUCUGACGCUACCGCGUUUUAGUGAAUUGACAUUGACUAACCAGGUGUGGGAUCCAUUCUACGCGGAGAGUCAGGACUGAUUGGUUUUCGAGAACUAAUAUUCAAUAUAGUUUUUGUACCUAAAAUAAUAUGUUGAAGUGUAAACGGAAGAAAUCAGAUCAUCAGAGGAUAAUAUUAUUAAACACCCAAGAUACAACCAGUACAAGACAAAGCCCAAACACACACAUGCUCAUCUUCUCAGGGAAGCAUUCACAAGCAGCAGAUUCAAGAUUCAAGAACCACCCUCCGCAAAAGUACAGCGACUAUUGAGGGCAGUCUAUUCAUCUUCUUUCUUGAAAUAAGAUUACAUAAACAACACAGAUAGCAAGAAGAGACAGAGACGGAGAUCCUCCCAUGGUUUAGAAGAGAUGGUGGUGCUUCUUGCCAUGAGCCUCUUCAUCUUCUUUCUUGGCCUCCUUCUUCUCGUGGUGCUCAUGGAAGGCGAACCCGCCGGCCC
RNAcentral lists this long non-coding RNA (27880 nucleotides) under Eucalyptus grandis. RNAcentral's name for it is "long non-coding RNA (EGRA_LNC002862)". Lineage: Eukaryota; Viridiplantae; Streptophyta; Magnoliopsida; Myrtales; Myrtaceae. The record is from RNAcentral.